CCUACGGGGGGCAGCAGUGGGGAAUAUUGGACAAUGGGGGCAACCCUGAUCCAGCCAUGCCGCGUGUGUGAAGAAGGCCCUCGGGUUGUAAAGCACUUUCAGUGAGGAAGAACGCCUGGUGGUUAAUACCCAUCAGGAAAGACAUCACUCACAGAAGAAGCACCGGCUAACUCCGUGCCAGCAGCCGCGGUAAUACGGAGGGUGCGAGCGUUAAUCGGAAUUACUGGGCAUAAAGCGCGCGUAGGUGGCUUGAUAAGCCGGUUGUGAAAGCCCCGGGCUCAACCUGGGAACGGCAUCCGGAACUGUCAAGCUAGAGUGCAGGAGAGGAAGGUAGAAUUCCCGGUGUAGCGGUGAAAUGCGUAGAGAUCGGGAGGAAUACCAGUGGCGAAGGCGGCCUUCUGGACUGACACUGACACUGAGGUGCGAAAGCGUGGGUAGCAAACAGGAUUAGAUACCCUAGUAGUC
This 465-nucleotide ribosomal RNA is filed under the name Vreelandella stevensii. RNAcentral describes it as "partial 16S ribosomal RNA". It matches the Rfam family "Bacterial small subunit ribosomal RNA", at positions 338 to 795 of the family's 1533-position model. Lineage: Bacteria; Pseudomonadati; Pseudomonadota; Gammaproteobacteria; Oceanospirillales; Halomonadaceae. The record is from RNAcentral.